UGGGGAAUUGUUCACAAUGGGCGCAAGCCUGAUGACGCAACGCCGCGUGGAGGAUGAAGACUUUCGGGUCGUAAACUCCUUUCGACCGAGAUGAAUUUCCUCCGACCUAACACGUCGGAGGGGUGACAGUAUCGAGGGAAGAAGCCCCGGCUAACUCUGUGCCAGCAGCCGCGGUAAUACAGGGGGGGCGAGCGUUGUUCGGAAUUACUGGGCGUAAAGGGUUCGUAGGUGGCUGGCUAAGUCAGACGUGAAAUCCCUCAGCUUAACUGGGGAACUGCGUCUGAGACUGGCGAGCUUGAGUGCAGGAGAGGAACGCGGAAUUCCAGGUGUAGCGGUGAAAUGCGUAGAUAUCUGGAGGAACACCGGUGGCGAAGGCGGCGUUCUGGACUGCAACUGACACUGAGGAACGAAAGCCAGGGUAGCAAACGGG
RNAcentral lists this ribosomal RNA (430 nucleotides) under uncultured Acidobacteriota bacterium. RNAcentral's name for it is "bacterial SSU rRNA". It matches the Rfam family "Bacterial small subunit ribosomal RNA", at positions 355 to 776 of the family's 1533-position model. Lineage: Bacteria; Pseudomonadati; Acidobacteriota. The record is from RNAcentral.